GAAGAUAAUAGUUAGUAAUAUAGAGCAGGUCCUGCCUGCCCAGUGACUAUAAGUUAAACGGCCGCGGUAUUUUGACCGUGCAAAGGUAGCGCAAUCACUUGUCUUUUAAAUGAAGACCUGUAUGAAUGGUGGAACGAGGGCUUAACUGUCUCCCCCUUCUAGUCAAUGAAAUUGAUCUACCCGUGCAGAAGCGGGUAUAAUAAUACAAGACGAGAAGACCCUUUGGAGCUUAAGACAAAAGACCAACUAUGUCAAAAGUCCUAAAAAAGACUAAACCAAAUAGUUCUGGUCCUAAUCUUCGGUUGGGGUGACCACGGGAGAAAACAAAGCUCCCAUGCGGACUGGGACAUUUCCUAAAACUAAGAGAGACAUCUCUAAGACACAGAACAUCUGACCAUAAAGAUCCGGCUACAUGCCGACCAACGGACCAAGUUACCCUAGGGAUAACAGCGCAAUCCCCUUCCAGAGUCCAUAUCGACAAGGGGGUUUACGACCUCGAUGUUGGAUCAGGACAUCCUAAUGGUGCAGCCGCUAUUAAGGGUUCGUUUGUUCAACGAUUAAAGUCCUACGUGAUCUGAUUCCAGACCGGAACCGGGCUUGGGGGCCCCGGGGGACCAGGGGGAAGGGCCCAAUGAGGGGGGAAAUAAUAUCCCCGGGGAAAAGAAGGAAA
This 670-nucleotide ribosomal RNA is filed under the name Pterygoplichthys cf. disjunctivus/pardalis DZ3832. RNAcentral's name for it is "partial large subunit ribosomal RNA". It matches the Rfam family "Bacterial large subunit ribosomal RNA", at positions 1827 to 2925 of the family's 2925-position model. Lineage: Eukaryota; Metazoa; Chordata; Actinopteri; Siluriformes; Loricariidae. The record is from RNAcentral.